This 292-nucleotide ribosomal RNA is filed under the name uncultured bacterium. RNAcentral's name for it is "partial 16S ribosomal RNA". It matches the Rfam family "Bacterial small subunit ribosomal RNA", at positions 505 to 796 of the family's 1533-position model. The record is from RNAcentral.
GUGUCAGCAGCCGCGGUAAGACGUAGGGCGCGAGCGUUGUCCGGAUUUAUUGGGCGUAAAGAGCUCGUAGGCGGCUCAUCGCGUCUGCCGUGAAAACCCGCAGCUCAACUGCGGGCUUGCGGUUGAUACGGGUGGGCUGGAGUUCGGUAGGGGAGACUGGAAUUCCUGGUGUAGCGGUGAAAUGCGCAGAUAUCAGGAGGAACACCGGUGGCGAAGGCGGGUCUCUGGGCCGAUACUGACGCUGAGGAGCGAAAGCGUGGGGAGCGAACAGGAUUAGAAACCCCGGUAGUCC